UUGGGUACCGUCAAGACCGAAGGUAUUAACUUCGGUUUUUUCUUUCCCAAUAAAGGUGCUUUACAACCCGCAGGCCUUCUUCACACACGCGGCAUUGCUGCAUCAGGCUUGCGCCCAUUGUGCAAUAUUCCCC
RNAcentral lists this ribosomal RNA (133 nucleotides) under uncultured bacterium. Its description in RNAcentral is "partial 16S ribosomal RNA". The record is from RNAcentral.